GCCCGAGUGGCGGAAUGGCAGACGCGGCGGACUCAAAAUCCGCUGUCCGGAAGGGCGUGUGGGUUCGAAUCCCACCUUGGGCA
Molecule: transfer RNA, 83 nt
Filed under: Acidobacteriota bacterium
Lineage: Bacteria; Pseudomonadati; Acidobacteriota
Also listed under: 1 other name
Description: Acidobacteria bacterium (mine drainage metagenome) tRNA-Leu
Rfam family: tRNA
About the family: Transfer RNA (tRNA) molecules are approximately 80 nucleotides in length.
Source: RNAcentral